Molecule: small RNA, 596 nt
Filed under: Edwardsiella tarda
Lineage: Bacteria; Pseudomonadati; Pseudomonadota; Gammaproteobacteria; Enterobacterales; Hafniaceae
Description: partial EsR240
Source: RNAcentral
UAUGGAUGAUCUUGUCCACGAUCGGGUCGAGGAAGUCGCGGUCAUGAGAGAUCAGGAUCAGCGUCCCGGGGUAGCUUUUUAACCAGCGCUCUAGCCAGAUCACCGCAUCCAGAUCCAGGUGGUUGGUCGGUUCAUCCAGCAGUAACAGAUCGGAGCGGCACAACAGGGCUUGCGCCAGGUUAAGGCGCAUGCGCCAGCCGCCGGAGAAGGAUUUGACCGGUUGCAGCAGUUGCUCCUGGCUGAAGCCGAGUCCAUGCAACAGGCUGGAGGCGCGGGCACGAAUGGUCCAGGCGGCGAUCGCAUCCAGCUUGCCGUGGAUCAGGGCGAUGGCGUUACCGUCGUUGCGCAGGUUGGCCUCUUCGAGCUGGCGCUCCAAUUGGCGGAACUCCCGAUCGCCAUCGAGGACAUACUCCAGUGCCGGCGUCUCCAGGGCUGGUGUCUCCUGGUUAACCCAGGCCAUCGCCCAGUUUGCCGGGAGGUUGGCGCUGCCACCGUCGGCGCUCAACUCCUGCUUUAACAGCGCCAGUAGCGUUGAUUUCCCACAGCCAUUCUUCCCGACCAGGCCUACCUUCUGGCCGGGGUUGAUCGUUGCCGAG